Molecule: microRNA precursor, 67 nt
Filed under: Bombyx mori (domestic silkworm)
Lineage: Eukaryota; Metazoa; Arthropoda; Insecta; Lepidoptera; Bombycidae
Description: mir-2774 microRNA precursor family
Rfam family: mir-2774 microRNA precursor family
Source: Rfam by way of RNAcentral
ACAACAUUCAGACCGUCAGUCUACCGAGCAAUAUCAUCCGCUCGGUGGAAGAUCUUCCUUUCGUCGU